CCUACGGGAGGCAGCAGUGGGGAAUAUUGGACAAUGGGGGCAACCCUGAUCCAGCCAUGCCGCGUGUGUGAAGAAGGCCCUCGGGUUGUAAAGCACUUUCAGUGAGGAAGAACGCCUGGUGGUUAAUACCCAUCAGGAAAGACAUCACUCACAGAAGAAGCACCGGCUAACUCCGUGCCAGCAGCCGCGGUAAUACGGAGGGUGCGAGCGUUAAUCGGAAUUACUGGGCGUAAAGCGCGCGUAGGUGGCUUGAUAAGCCGGUUGUGAAAGCCCCGGGCUCAACCUGGGAACGGCAUCCGGAACUGUCAAGCUAGAGUGCAGGAGAGGAAGGUAGAAUUCCCGGUGUAGCGGUGAAAUGCGUAGAGAUCGGGAGGAAUACCAGUGGCGAAGGCGGCCUUCUGGACUGACACUGACACUGAGGUGCGAAGGCGUGGGUAGCAAACAGGAUUAGAUACCCCGGUAGUC
Molecule: ribosomal RNA, 465 nt
Filed under: Vreelandella stevensii
Lineage: Bacteria; Pseudomonadati; Pseudomonadota; Gammaproteobacteria; Oceanospirillales; Halomonadaceae
Description: partial 16S ribosomal RNA
Rfam family: Bacterial small subunit ribosomal RNA
Source: RNAcentral